UACGUAGGGUGCAAGCGUUAAUCGGAAUUACUGGGCGUAAAGAGCUCGUAGGUGGUUUGUCGCGUUGUUCGUGAAAACUCACAGCUUAACUGUGGGCGUGCGGGCGAUACGGGCAGACUGGAGUACUGCAGGGGAGACUGGAAUUCCUGGUGUAGCGGUGGAAUGCGCAGAUAUCAGGAGGAACACCGGUGGCGAAGGCGGGUCUCUGGGCAGUAACUGACGCUGAGGAGCGAAAGCGUGGGGAGCGAACAGG
Molecule: ribosomal RNA, 253 nt
Filed under: uncultured bacterium
Lineage: Bacteria
Description: partial 16S ribosomal RNA
Rfam family: Bacterial small subunit ribosomal RNA
Source: RNAcentral